This 776-nucleotide ribosomal RNA is filed under the name uncultured Neocallimastigales. RNAcentral describes it as "partial large subunit ribosomal RNA". It matches the Rfam family "Eukaryotic large subunit ribosomal RNA", at positions 23 to 634 of the family's 3401-position model. Lineage: Eukaryota; Fungi; Neocallimastigomycota; Neocallimastigomycetes; Neocallimastigales. The record is from RNAcentral.
AAGAGAGAGACAUGCGCGCAUAUCAAUAAGCGGAGGAAAAGAAACUAACAAGGAUUCCCUUAGUAACGGCGAGUGAAGCGGGAAGAGCUCAAAUUUGAAAUCUUCAAGGUUCUACCUUGACGAAUUGUAGUUUAAAGAAGUGUUUUCUGUUGAAGUUUUGGUAAAAGUUCUUUGGAAUAGGACAUCAUAGAGGGUGAGAAUCCCGUAUUUGACCAUUAUUUUCAGCUUUGUGAUACACUUUCAAAGAGUCGGAUUGUUUGGGAAUGCAGUCCAAAAUGGGUGGUAAAUUUCAUCUAAAGCUAAAUAUUGGCGAGAGACCGAUAGCGAACAAGUACCGUGAGGGAAAGAUGAAAAGAACUUUGAAAAGAGAGUUAAACAGUACGUGAAAUUGUCAAAAGGGAAGCGUUUGACACCAGUGUUGUUUUCUCGAAAAUCAAUUAAAAAUGGCUCGAUUUUGUAUUGCUGAGACCUUAAAAGCUCACUGUACAUUUUUCGUGUCUUUUUUAAUGCACUUUUCGUUUAACAAGUCAACAUCAGUUUCUUUUGUUGUAAAAGGGUCAUUGGAAGGUGGCUUUCUUUUCGGAGGAAGUGUUUAUAGCCUUUGGCCUCUGCAAUCGAAGAGACUGAGGUCUGCAGCGUAGACUCUUCGGGGUUAGAUACAUUUGUGCUAAGUUAUAGCCUUUUCAUAGACAACUUGUUGACUAUAAUCAGUCAUGUAGCUUACUCGCUUAUGCUAUUUUACCUACGCUUAGGAUGUUGAAGAUGUAGCACAUCAU